RNAcentral lists this ribosomal RNA (521 nucleotides) under Coccorchestes cf. ildikoae JXZ-2013. RNAcentral's name for it is "partial 16S ribosomal RNA". The stretch from base 138 to 431 matches the Rfam family "Archaeal large subunit ribosomal RNA", at positions 2151 to 2715 of the family's 2987-position model. Lineage: Eukaryota; Metazoa; Arthropoda; Arachnida; Araneae; Salticidae. The record is from RNAcentral.
ACAGCCGCAAUUCGUGCUAAGGUAGCAUAAUAAUUUGUCUUUUAAAUGAAGACCAGAACAAAAGAUUUCACAUUUUAACUGUUUUGUUUUCUAUAAAAAUUUAAAUUUUUCAAAAUGUAAAAAAACAUUUAUUUAAAAGAAAGACGAUAAGACCCUAUUAAACUUAACUUCAGUUAAACUGGGGCAGUAAAUUAAUUAUUAUUUUAAUUUUUUUAAAUUAUUAUUAAUCUAAUAGUAUUAAUAAUUCAGUUACUAUAGGGAUAACAGCGCAAUUAUAUUUUAAAGUGCUCAUUUAAAAGAUAGAUUACGACCUCGAUGUUGAAUUAAUUACCUAAUUAAAGUAAAAAUUAAAUAAGGAAGUCUGUUCGACUUUUUAAAAAUUACAUGAUUUGAGUUCAGACCGGUAUAAGCCAGGUCGGUUUCAAUCUUCUAAAAACUUUCUUACAGUACGAAAGGACCUAAGAAUAUUAUAUAUAAAUUGGCAGAUAAAUGCAUUAGAAUUAGAAUCUAAUAAAACUAAA